Molecule: transfer RNA, 72 nt
Filed under: bacterium
Lineage: Bacteria
Description: tRNA-Arg
Rfam family: tRNA
About the family: Transfer RNA (tRNA) molecules are approximately 80 nucleotides in length. Their secondary structure includes four short double-helical elements and three loops (D, anti-codon, and T loops).
Source: RNAcentral
GCCCCUGUGUUGAAAUGGAUAUCAUCUUUGCCUUCGAAGCAAAUGUUGAGGGUUCGAAUCCUUCCAGGGGCA